GACGAACGCUGGCGGCGUGCUUAACACAUGCAGGUCGAACGGAAAGGCCCUGCUUUUGUGGGGUGCUCGAGUGGCGAACGGGUGAGUAACACGUGAGUAACCUGCCCUUGACUUUGGGAUAACUUCAGGAAACUGGGGCUAAUACCGGAUAGGAGCUCCUGCUGCAGGGUGGGGGUUGGAUAGUUUCGGCGGUUGGGGAUGGACUGCCGGCUUAUCAGUUGGUUGGUGGGGGAGUGGCUUACCAAGGGUUUGACCGGUAGCCGGCCUGGGAGGGUGGCCGGCGACAUGGGUACUGAGGGACGGCCAAGUGUCGUACGGUGGACAGCAGGGGGGAAUAUGGCCCAAUGGGCGGAAGCCUGAUGCAGAAACGCCGGGGUUGGGAUGACGGCCUUCGGGUUGUAAACCGCUUCAGCCUGUGACGAAGCGUGAGUGACGGUAAUGGGUAAAGAAGCACCGGCUAACUACGUG
This 468-nucleotide ribosomal RNA is filed under the name uncultured bacterium. Its description in RNAcentral is "partial 16S ribosomal RNA". It matches the Rfam family "Bacterial small subunit ribosomal RNA", at positions 28 to 507 of the family's 1533-position model. The record is from RNAcentral.